CACGAACGCUGGCGGCAUGCCUAACACAUGCAAGUCGAACGAGACCUUCGGGUCUAGUGGCGCACGGGUGCGUAACGCGUGGGAUCCUGCCCUUAGGUUCGGAAUAACUCCCCGAAAGGGGUGCUAAUACCGGAUAAUGUCUUCGGACCAAAGAUUUAUCGCCUUUGGAUGGGCCCGCGUUGGAUUAGCUAGUUGGUAGGGUAAAAGCCUACCAAGGCGACGAUCCAUAGCUGGUCUGAGAGGAUGAUCAGCCACACUGGGACUGAGACACGGCCCAGACUCCUACGGGAGGCAGCAGUGGGGAAUAUUGGACAAUGGGCGAAAGCCUGAUCCAGCAAUGCCGCGUGAGUGAUGAAGGCCUUAGGGUUGUAAAGCUCUUUUACCCGGGAUGAUAAUGACAGUACCGGGAGAAUAAGCUCCGGCUAACUCCGUG
This 433-nucleotide ribosomal RNA is filed under the name uncultured bacterium. Its description in RNAcentral is "partial 16S ribosomal RNA". It matches the Rfam family "Bacterial small subunit ribosomal RNA", at positions 29 to 507 of the family's 1533-position model. The record is from RNAcentral.